Molecule: ribosomal RNA, 934 nt
Filed under: Septoriella camporesii
Lineage: Eukaryota; Fungi; Ascomycota; Dothideomycetes; Pleosporales; Phaeosphaeriaceae
Description: Septoriella sp. IDG-2019a partial large subunit ribosomal RNA
Rfam family: Eukaryotic large subunit ribosomal RNA
Source: RNAcentral
UGAUAGCAUAUCAAUAAACGGAGCAGAAGAAACCAACAGGGAUUGCCCUAGUAACGGCGAGUGAAGCGGCAACAGCUCAAAUUUGAAAUCUGGCUCUUUUAGGGUCCGAGUUGUAAUUUGCAGAGGGCGCUUUGGCGUUGGCAGCGGUCCAAGUUCUUUGGAACAGGACGUCACAGAGGGUGAGAAUCCCGUACGUGGUCGCUAGCCUUCGCCGUGUAAAGCCCCUUCGACGAGUCGAGUUGUUUGGGAAUGCAGCUCUAAAUGGGAGGUAAAUUUCUUCUAAAGCUAAAUACUGGCCAGAGACCGAUAGCGCACAAGUAGAGUGAUCGAAAGAUGAAAAGCACUUUGGAAAGAGAGUCAAAUAGCACGUGAAAUUGUUGAAAGGGAAGCGCUUGCAGCCAGACUUGCCUGUAGUUGCUUAUCCGGACUUUUGUCCGGUGCACUCUUCUGCGGGCAGGCCAGCAUCAGUUUAGGCGGUUGGAUAAAGGUCUCUAUCACGUACCUCCCUUCGGGGUUGGCCUUAUAGGGGAGACGACAUGCAACCAGCCUGAACUGAGGUCCGCGCAUCUGCUAGGAUGCUGGCGUAAUGGCUGUAAGCGGCCCGUCUUGAAACACGGACCAAGGAGUCUAACAUCUAUGCGAGUGUUUGGGUGUCAAGCCCAGACGCGUAAUGAAAGUGAACGGAGGUGGGAACCUUUUAGGUGCACCAUCGACCGAUCCUGAUGUCUUCGGAUGGAUUUGAGUAAGAGCAUGGCUGUUGGGACCCGAAAGAUGGUGAACUAUGCUUGAAUAGGGUGAAGCCAGAGGAAACUCUGGUGGAGGCUCGCAGCGGUUCUGACGUGCAAAUCGAUCGUCAAAUUUGGGCAUAGGGGCGAAAGACUAAUCGAACUAUCUAGUAGCUGGUUCCUGCCGAUCUCCUCGAGAUAAGAAAAAA